UAUGUCAUGGGAAGGUGUUAGGCACCCACAACAUCCUAGGUACUCCUAGGGAGCCCUUUUCACAACUUAUUGUAUUGUUAUUGUUUAUGAAAGUAUUUUUGUGCAAACAUGAUUGGAGAGAUGAGAGAAGAAUAUACAAGUUUAUUUACAUUUUGUGUUUGGAUGGAUGAACCCAUUGCCUACGUACCUUUUCAUGAAAGAUAAGG
RNAcentral lists this long non-coding RNA (206 nucleotides) under Lathyrus oleraceus (garden pea). RNAcentral's name for it is "Pisum sativum (pea) long non-coding RNA (PSAT_LNC039170)". The record is from RNAcentral. Lineage: Eukaryota; Viridiplantae; Streptophyta; Magnoliopsida; Fabales; Fabaceae.